UUUAUGUUUGGUGUUUUGUAAUGCUCAAUCUCUUGUUUUAUGGUUGGUGUUUUGUAAUGCUCAAUCUCUUGAUUUAUGUUUCGUGAUUUGUAAUGCUCAGUCUCUUGUUUAUGUUUGGUGCUUUAUGAUGCUCAAUCGCUUGUUUUGUGUUUAGCUAUUUGUGAUGUUCAAUGUCCUGUUUUAUGUUUGGUGAUUUCUGAUGCUCAAUCGCUUGGUUUAUUGUUGGUAUUUUGUAAUGUUCAAUCUCCUGUUUUAUGUUGGUGUUUUGUGAUACCCAAUCUUUUGUUUUAUGUUUGGUGAUUUGUGAUGCCCAAUCUCUAGAUUUAUGUUUAGUGAUUUGUAAUGCUCAAUCUCUUGUUUUAUGUUUGGUGUUUUGUAAUGCUCAAUCUCUUGUUUUAUGUUUGGUGUUUUGUAAUGCUCAAUCUCUUGUUUAUGUUUGGUGUUUUGUGAUGCUCAAUCUCUUGUUUUGGUUUUAAUUAUUUGUGAUGCUCAAUAUCCUGUUUUAUGUUUGGUGAUUUGUGAUGCUUAAUCGCUUGGUUUAUAUUUGGUGUUUUGUAAUGUUCAAUCUCUUGUUUUAUGUUUGGUGUUUUGGGUGCCCAAUCUUUUGUUUUAUAUUAGGUGAUUUGUGAUGCUCAAUCGCUUGUUUUGUGUUUAGUUAAUUGUGAUGUUCAAUGUCCUGUUUUAUGUUUGGUGGUUUGUGAUGCUCAUUCGCUUGGUUUAUGUUUGGUGUUUUGUAAUGUUCAAUCUCCUGUUUUAUGUUUGGUGUUUUGUGAUGCCCAAUCUUUUGUUUUAUGUUUGGUGAUUUGUGAUGCCCAAUAUCUUGUUAUAUGUUUAGUGUUUUGUGAUGGUCAAUCUCUUGUUUUAUGUUUAGUGUAUUGUAAUGCUCAAUCUCUUGAUUUAUGUUUGGUGAUUUGUGAUGC
RNAcentral lists this long non-coding RNA (920 nucleotides) under Mytilus galloprovincialis (Mediterranean mussel). The record is from RNAcentral. Lineage: Eukaryota; Metazoa; Mollusca; Bivalvia; Mytilida; Mytilidae.